Molecule: ribosomal RNA, 494 nt
Filed under: uncultured bacterium
Lineage: Bacteria
Description: bacterial SSU rRNA
Rfam family: Bacterial small subunit ribosomal RNA
Source: RNAcentral
AGAGUUUGAUCAUGGCUCAGAAUGAACGUUGGCGGCGUGGAUUAGGCAUGCAAGUCGUACGCAUAGCUUCGGCUAUGAGUGGCGCAAGGGUGAGUAAUGCGAAGGUAACCAACCCUGGUGUUGGGCAUAGCCGCGGGAAACUGCGGGUAAUUCCCAGCGACGUCACGAGAUGGCAUCAUCUUGUGACCAAAGGUGUGAUUCCGCUCUAGGGCGGGCCUUCGUGGUAUUAGGUAGUUGGUGAGGUAACGGCUCACCAAGCCGACGAUGCCUACCGGGUGUGAGAGCAUGACCCGGCACACUGGAACUGAGACACUGUCCAGACACCUACGGGUGGCUGCAGUCGAGAAUCUUCGGCAAUGGGCGAAAGCCUGACCGAGCGACGCCGCGUGAGGGAUUGAAGGCCUUCGGGUUGUAAACCUCUUUCGUAGAGGAGGAAGGGGCCGUGAAGAACGGUCUUUGACCUAUUCUAGGAAGAAGCUUGGGCUAAGUUCGUG